GUCACAUUUCGCCGAGAUCCCCUCCCCAACCAACCGGCCGGCACAGCUGCUUCACCGCUCCCGUGAGCCCUGCGGAAGCGUUAUGGAACCGUGUGAUGGAGCCUUUUCCACGUAAAGGGGCCGUGUGGGUGGCCUUCAGGAACGGGCCGAGGGGUUGCCGCGCGCCCUGCGACGACGGCGUCCGGCUCCCGGCGUGGCCGAAGCGUGCGGCCUCAGGACGCGGCCGUUCACAGGAGACCCUGACCGAGAGACGGCAGCCUGGCGAUGGCAGGAACUUCCCAGACGGCGAGGCAGCCUUCCUUGGCGCUCCACGUGGAUCCUCCCCGCCGGGCAUCCGAGAGCUAAGUCGAAGGCUAUGAAUUGCAGAGGGGCUGAAAGUGGGGUGCCGGGUCGGGACUCUGGACCUGGGAUUUUUAAGUCAGCUUUGGGGAUGGGGAGGUCCAGGCUGUGGCCCCUUAGGCCACGUGAAGGGAGAGCCUGACAUUUGUUCACAGUGCUGAGGUGCGCAGGACAGAGCAGUCCCGGGGCGUGUUGUAUCACUUGUCCGUCGUGCCUUCUGUGUCUUUUGUGCCUCUCCUGUUGUAUGUGCCUCACCUUAUUUCUUCUGGGGGCUAACCAGAAACCCCGGCGUCGCUCGUACCAUCUCCGAUCUCUGGGCUCUUCAGCCCGAUGCCAUCGAAGCUUUGCCUCAGGAGCUCGCAGAGGCCUUGGAAUUGCAUCUGUUUUGGAAAGCAUCCGAUCGGAUGUCUUUUAGAGGUCUUGUUCCGAGCUGUGUCAACAGCCGUGCGCCGUGAGGAUCCAUUGUUGCGGCUUAGGUCUUGAAGAAACACAAAGAUAGGUAGAGGACUGUGGCCCUAAAAUUCUCGGGCAUCCGUCUUGGCAGUUGCUGGAGUUCGUCAUUCCGUCAGCAUCUUCUUCCUCCCGGGUUCUGCGAGCUUCAUCAGCUCGCCUUCAUUCUCACCCGGCUCAUCUCGUUCCGCGUUCUCUCGGUCCUUGUGGCCAUUCUUGUGGCCCAGAGUUUUGUCUCCCCGUUGUGUCCCCUCGUCUGUUGUCUUGUGUGUCACGGGUGUCUGGGUGUAGUUGUCCCGGAGCUGCUCUGUCCUGCUGCCCAGCCUGGGUGUAGGUGUAAAAGGCCAAGUCCCAGGCCCCUGUAACUUGAAAUUUGUGAUGUAGGGUGUAGUUGGAGUCUAGCGGGUGUUCCUAGAUUGACACAAGAUGUCAGGAGCUGUGAAGUUACCCUGCAGCACUUUGACUUUUGUCUCAGCUUUCUUUCAGAUGCGGACGGAUGAAAUCGGUGGCAGAGCGCCCCAUCCAGGGUAAGGGGGUUCCCCCGAGAAGGUAAGUCAAUGUUUGUCUUUGCAGGGCAACUGGAACCGGUCACUGUGUUACAGGUCUCCUCUUUGUCUUUAUUUUUAGGAAGUGAAGCCGGCUAGCAGCGGUCAAGGCGAAGCGGGCAAGGCGGUCCAGUCACAUUUCGCCGAGAUCCCCUCCCCAACCAACCGGCCGGCACAGCUGUUUCGCCGCUCCCGUGAGCCCUGCGGAAGCGUUAUGGAACCGUGUGAUGGAGCCUUUUCCACGUAAAGGGGCCGUGUGGGUGGCCUUCAGGAA
Long non-coding RNA from Poecile atricapillus (Black-capped chickadee), 1608 nucleotides. RefSeq lists it as uncharacterized. NCBI's taxonomy places the organism in Eukaryota, Metazoa, Chordata, Aves, Passeriformes, Paridae. The transcript has 4 exons. The record is from RefSeq and is a predicted model, not a curated record.